GAGAUAAAGCCAGACGUGCCUAACACAUGCAAAUCGAAUGAAAAGAGUUAAUUAUUGUUUUCAUGGUGAACGGGUGAGUAACACAUAAGAAUCAGCUUUUAGAUAAGGCAUAAAAGAGUAAUAUCUUGGUAAUUCCUUAUAUGCGCAGCAGUGCUUAAAAAGGGGAGUCCCGUCUAAAAACGAGCUUAUGCCUGAUUAGCUAGUUGGCGAGUUAAAAGCUCACCAAGGCGAAGAUCAGUAGCUGGCCUGAGAGGGCGGCCAGCCACAUUGGGACUGAGACACGGCCCAAACUCCUACGGGAGGCAGCAGUGGGGAAUCUUCUGCAAUGGGCGCAAGCCUGACAGAGCGGCGUCGUGUGAAGGAAGAAGGCCUGAAAUAGGUUGUAAACUUCUUUUACUGAAUAAUGAAUAAUGACAACGCAGUAAAAAAGUAUCGGCUAACUCCGUGCCAGCAGCCGCGGUAAUACGGGGGAUGCAAGCGUUAUCCGGAAUCACUGGGCGUAAAGCGUCUGUAGGUGGUUUAGUGUGUUCUUAGUUAAAUUCUGAAGCCUAACUUCAUGAAAAGUAAGAAAACUAUUAGACUUGAGUACGAUAGGGGUAAGAGGAAUUCUUCGAGAAGUAGUGAAAUGCGAAGAUACGAAGGAGAAGAUCAUAAGCGAAGGCUUCUUACUGGGUCGUAACUGACACUGAGAGACGAAAGCUAGGGGAGCGAAUGGGAUUAGAUACCCCAGUAGUCCUAGCUGUAAACGAUGGAUAUUCGGUGCCGGAAAUUUUAUUAGAACAUUUCGGUACCCUAGCUAACGCGUUAAAUAUCCCGCCUGAGGAGUACGCUCGCAAGGGUGAAACUCAAUGAAUUGACGGAAGGGC
Molecule: ribosomal RNA, 866 nt
Filed under: uncultured bacterium
Lineage: Bacteria
Description: bacterial SSU rRNA
Rfam family: Bacterial small subunit ribosomal RNA
Source: RNAcentral